CUUGCUUUUAUAUAUAUAGAUAUACAUUGACACAAUAGGGCUUUUAGGAAACACACUAAUCUAAUAAACAUUUCAUAGUUAAUGUCAAUAUGCAAUUCAGGUACAUUUUCAUAAUAUUAUAUAAUACCUCGAAUAUUAUGAAAAUGUACCUUAUUUUAUAACUUAAAGGAAAUAUUUUGGGUUACUUAAACACACUUUUAAGUCCCAUGUUAAAUCGAAGCUUGGCAGGUUUAAGAUGUCAAAAUAAUACCAAUCUAGAUCAGUUAUUUCGACAGUUAAUUUGCAUAGUUGCGUUGCCGUGCUCGAGAUCUCUCGACGUGGUAACAGAAAUAAGCCAGCUUACGAGCCGCAACUGAGAGCCCGGUCGAAAGCUGAGCGUCUGAGAGGCGGCAAACCAGACGACAAAUGCCACAGAACACGUAAUGAUGAUAAACGCGGGAUGCAAGAUGUGGCAAAGUGGGUGGUUUAUGGGAAAGAGGAGGAGGAGUGGGGAGGAGGAUGGGCUCUUGUGGGAGGGCCUGUGCAAACAGUGCAGGAAUGGAACACAGUCGGUUUGGGGGCCUGUUCCUUAACCCAUACAGCUCGGUGACAUAAUCGGCACAGUUGGCCUGGCAACAACUGUUUUGCCAGCGCUUGUUACAAAACAGCCAGCUGGAGGGUCUUUUCGAGGGGCCAAGGGUUCUUUUCUUUUUUUUCCGGGAAGGGGAAGGGAAAAGGGUGAAGGGAACCGGGUUCGCAGCACUUGAUAUUAAAAUAAACAUAUACUUUUGUACACCGAAGGAAUGACUGUUUUGUGGGUUGCGAACUUCCGAUGGCAAAUUCACCUUUUGUGGAUUUGGAAGAAAAUUGUACCUUUAGCGGACAAGAGUUGCAUGGCAACGAUUUCCAAUUAAUUAUUUGCAUAGCAUAGUAGUAGCGGGAAAUGCGAGCGACAGCCAUAAUUUGAAUAGGAACGCAUUAAAAAUGAUUCAGGCAACUUGACGGUUAAUUUGUGUAAGCAACCAACCUCCAACUCCAAGUGAAUAGUGAAUCGAUAGCGUCAAUCAGCGUAAUGAUGCUCUUCCCGGCGAAUCGAUGGCCCUUGAUUGGUUUGUUUAAUCCGGGGAGGCAACGGAAGUUACAAUGGUAACCAUAGGUAUUAGCCAGCAAUCUACCAAUCAAUAUCCACGCACACACUAGCUUCUCUUUCAGUUUUUUUUUUUUUUUUUUUUUUGCCAACCUUUCUGGGGAAUCGGAGAUUGGAGGUCAUGCCGUGUCUGACCCAAAACUGCACGUUUUCUGCCCGGUGUGUUGGUGUUUGUGUGUGUGUGUUUGCUUUUUGGUCUGUGACCUUUGACAUCUGACUCUGCUCUGCUCUGCUUUGGAGCUUCAAGUUGAACGGAGUUGAUUGACAUAAUUCAUUUUGACCGCCUCGAUUUGGUUUCGAAUUUUGGAUAUGAAAUUGCUUUGUCGGCCCUUUUGUCGCAUAUCGAUUUCGGGUAAAUGUCAAUCGAACCCUGGCAAAUGUCGUUGAACCGUCGGUGGGGAUCGGGGGGCGUAAGCCUGGCCUGUGGGCGUGCCCGGGCCAAAAGCCUUGGCCAUUUUAUGGCUUCAUUUCAAUUUGGCAUUAAUUGGUGAAUGUUGGUUCAUUGUUGCUGUUGUUGUUGUGGCUGCAUUUUCAUAGUUUCGCCUGCGGCCGGCAAUCAACAAGCAGCUGCCAUCUCUCCGCUCUCUUUCUAGUGCACAUAAAGAAAAGUACCCCAACUUAAAAAAAAUUUUAAAAUACUUUAAGGGAAAGCAGAUCAGAUAACUAACCAACCUACAAAACGAGCAUUAUUUCUCAUUUCAAAGCAACUAUAACGUACUCCUGGCUUUUUAUUUUUUUCUUUGAAAAAUUAAAGGAAAUAACCAUUAAUUAAAUAAUUUCUUUUACAUUUAAGAAUUCGAUUCUUUUCAAAAGACUUUGUUUAUUUAAAUUUUGGAUGGUAUCAAUCAUGGUCUUUACGUUCCUUUUUUUUAAAUACUAUGUAUAACCAAUUCUAAGGGAACACUUUUGGCUUCCCCCACUGAUUAUUUUCCCCAGGUGUACCACCUUAUUUUCCUUUGGCUCCUCCUGCCCUCCUCCUCCACCUCGCCCAUGCUCCACUGGGUUGCCUGGGUCUGCCUGUGUUUCGGCCAUGCAGAUUGUUGCUGGCUGGAACAUUUUCAAUGCAUAAUCAACAACAACAACAACAACAAUAAUAAUAAUAACAACAACAACAACAACAUCUCGCUACGUGACGAAUUACGUGCAAAAUUGCUACCCAAGAGCAACGGCAACGGCAACAGCAACGUGAAGCGAGCGAGCAGCCAAGUGUUGCCCUUUGUGCAGCUGCUUUUUUCCGUUGCCAUGACGUUUCAGCGCUUUUUUUUAUUUUUCCUUUUUUCAUUAUUAUUAGUUUUAUUUCAUUUUGCGAUUCUGGUUGCUGACUGAAAGACUUCAUUUUCUAAUGCGCAAAAACAGAUUCUCUUUGAGCUUGUCAAAGUCUGGAUCAGCAGCACUUAGAUUGGAGUGUCACGUACGACAGAGCCAAAAUUUUAUUGAUCGCAGCCUUUGGCUUUGAGUUCGCUCAGCUGCUAGUUUUCGGUACGCACAACGCAUAAUUUUCAAAUCAAAUUGCAAUUUUCGCGGCUGCCAGAAAAAGAAGAAGAUCGCUGGGUGAAAUUGUGUGCAGCGUAACAUAUUAUUAAAUUGCCUUGAUUAUGGCCACAGAGCCAUCGCUCGGGGCUUCGGACGCGUUCGGUUGGAGCACCAGAAAGCCCAGAAAGAAAUAGCCAAUUUGAAACCGACCGAGUAUUUCCUGUCGUGUUCGCCGCUCUGUUGUUGUUGUUGUUGGUUUGUUCCUCUCCGCUGGCCGGCAAUUAAAGUGUGUAAACAUGGCCGACUGAGCCGGGCCAAAAGCGAGCUAAAUCGGCUGUCAGAGUCGCGUUGGCAGACGUCCGAUCAUAAAUCUUAGAGUGCUGCCAAAAAUAGAGUCAUUCUUUUUGAGGGGAUCCGAUCCAAACGGAAUGGAAUAGUCUCGAUUCGUUUCGAUUCGAUCCGAUGGAUGGAUGCAUGGCCGCUUGGACUGUUGUUCAGCAGCAGAACAGGAACAACGAGACCGAUAAAGACCGAAAAUAAACCCCGCCACACACAUGCAGACAACAAAGAAAACGACCUGAGAAUUGGGGAGGCACUGCAUUUGAAAUGAAAAAGCAUUCGGAACGAAGAACUUAAAGAAAAUGUACUAUUUUUGGAGCACCGAUUUGGAAAUACUCUGGGACAUGUCAGGAGUUCAUAAGAGAUUGGUAAUUAAAGGUGAUGGAUAGCUUUGUGUAAAUUACAGGGGAAGUGGUAUAUAUUUAUAUGCAUACCGAAUAAUAAGAAAACCUAGUAAAGUGUUCUUAAAAACAAUA
Long non-coding RNA from Drosophila ficusphila, 3414 nucleotides. RefSeq lists it as uncharacterized. The transcript has 2 exons. The record is from RefSeq and is a predicted model, not a curated record. Lineage: Eukaryota; Metazoa; Arthropoda; Insecta; Diptera; Drosophilidae.